RNAcentral lists this ribosomal RNA (115 nucleotides) under uncultured Cenococcum. RNAcentral's name for it is "partial 5.8S ribosomal RNA". It matches the Rfam family "5.8S ribosomal RNA", at positions 1 to 115 of the family's 154-position model. Rfam says of the family: 5.8S ribosomal RNA (5.8S rRNA) is a component of the large subunit of the eukaryotic ribosome. It is transcribed by RNA polymerase I as part of the 45S precursor that also contains 18S and 28S rRNA. Functionally, it is thought that 5.8S rRNA may be involved in ribosome translocation. The record is from RNAcentral. Lineage: Eukaryota; Fungi; Ascomycota; Dothideomycetes; Gloniales; Gloniaceae.
AAACUUUCAACAACGGAUCUCUUGGUUCUGGCAUCGAUGAAGAACGCAGCGAAACGCGAUAAGUAGUGUGAAUUGCAGAAUUCAGUGAAUCAUCGAAUCUUUGAACGCACAUGCG